UCUCCGUUGGUGAACCAGCGGAGGGAUCAUUACUGGAAUCGCAAGAUCCCACAACCCUGUGAACCUACCGAAACGUUGCCUCGGCGGGUGCCCGGCCUCUACGCCGGGCGCUGCGCCCGCCGGCGGCCCCCUACUCUGUCUCUGCAGCGUGGCAUCUCAGAGUCCCAGAAAACAAGUCAAAACUUUCAACAACGGAUCUCUUGGCUCUAGCAUCGAUGAAGAACGAGC
Molecule: unclassified non-coding RNA, 228 nt
Filed under: plant metagenome
Description: partial contains small subunit ribosomal RNA, internal transcribed spacer 1, and 5.8S ribosomal RNA
Rfam family: 5.8S ribosomal RNA (bases 181-228)
Source: RNAcentral